This 73-nucleotide transfer RNA is filed under the name Ovis aries (sheep). It matches the Rfam family "tRNA". From Rfam's summary of the family: Transfer RNA (tRNA) molecules are approximately 80 nucleotides in length. Lineage: Eukaryota; Metazoa; Chordata; Mammalia; Artiodactyla; Bovidae. The record is from Rfam by way of RNAcentral.
UCCCUCAUGGUCCAGUGGCAAAGACACUGCAGUCCAAAUGUAGGAAGUCUGGGUUCAAACCCUGCUCAGGGAA